This 456-nucleotide ribosomal RNA is filed under the name Triticum aestivum (bread wheat). RNAcentral's name for it is "partial small subunit ribosomal RNA". Lineage: Eukaryota; Viridiplantae; Streptophyta; Magnoliopsida; Poales; Poaceae. The record is from RNAcentral.
AUGGCGAUAAAUCGCGCGACCAAGACGGGGGAGAGCGACGCCGUGCGGCGAGGAAUUUCAGUCGCUGUUGCGUCGAUAGCUCGUGCGACCGCGGCGGGGAAGAGACACGUCCACGCGACGAGGGAGCCUAGCCGCUCGCUGCUGACAGCUCGCGCGACUGCGGCCUGUGCAGCAGAGGCGCGUCCGCACGACUACGGAGCUAAGUCGCUAGCUGAAGGCUUACGUCCAGCACAACAAUGGAUGCAACCUGUUUGUGGGACUGCCGGAGACUUAGAAGUUCAAUUCAACAAAGCUGCCAACAUCUUUCCGUGCAAACGUACAAAAACUCAAACCGUCACCCCCAUCUCGUUUUGGUGUCCUUUCUUUAAAGCAUGGCAAAAAAAUGUGUCGCCUCUGUUUUAUAUAGACCAGCAAUUUUUCACUGGGACAGAAAUAUUGCCUACAACGGCAAACUAA